CCCUCCUCGCCAAACUGCGCCCUGGCUAUCUUCUUCUUCCUCACGAAAGAAGGAGGAUCUGCCCAGGUUGCGGAAUCCACGCCAUCUCUCGCCCCCACGCCUCAGCCCCACCGACGCUGCCUUCUUCUUCUUCUGCACGCCAGAAACAGAUCCAAACGCAAUCGCCCCCAGCCUUUCUUCCUCCUCCUACACAGCCGUCAUGGGAGCCCCAAAGUAGAAGGAGCUGCUUCAAGAUCUAAAGGGCAGGGUGGUCAGAGCCAUACCAGGCAGUAAGAUCGAGCAGAAAAAUCUGAAAAGAGCUCCUUGCGAAACGGAAACCUACAGAUCAUUGCAACAAAACAAAAAGGGAAAAGGAAGUGUGUGGCAGCAUCCAAAAACAAGGGAAAAAUGCUUGAUCUCAAUGAGUUGCCUCCAGAUCUCAAUGAGCUUCCUCAUGAUAUGGAUCAGCAGCAACCCAGCAUACAACAAGGAAACUGCACAGAAAAUGGUCGAUCUGUUUACUACACGCAGGCAAGUCGUGAUGGUAACCCUACGGGCCAUGACAAUGUGGCAGGCCAGUCAUCAGCCCGUGGUGCCCCUGUAGUGGUGUCUUUGCAGUCAGAGAGCCAUACUCUUGAUGACACAGGAACCGAGGCAAAUGUUCCUGGUCCAACCAGGACUGAGCUGGAAGCUGGGGCUUUUGACAGAGCUGUGCAAGUAGAAGAAGGAGAGGAUGAGGCUGGUUCUCAACCUAUGGAACCCUAUGUUGGCAUGAGGUUUGACAACCUUCAAAUUGCUAAGGAUCACUAUAACAGUUACGCACUACGGAUGGGUUUCUCUAUCAAGAUGAACACCUCUAGACGGACACCCCGCACCAAUGAAUUGAUAAAACAAUAGUUUUGCUGCAACAAGUUCAAGAAGCCCAAAGUUGAUGAUGGAGGAGCUGAGGCUCCUCCUUACCUGGACCCUAUUCCAGAUCCAACAUCUGUUAACAGUGAUGAGGAGAUGGAAGAAGAACCUCCAAUAUUUGCUGAAGAGGAUGCUGGUACUAGUAAGAAGAAGAAGAAGCGCAAACGUGAGACAAUAAAGCAGACUGAAUGCAAGGCGAAAAUGUUGGUGAAGUUGAUAGAUGGGCGAUGGGAGGUGACGCACUUUGUUCGUGACCACAAUCAUCCGCUCGUGAACAAACCUUCAUUGUCCAAAUACUUGAGAUCCCACCAAGGCAUCUCACCUGAUGAAAAGGAGUUUUUGCGCAUCUUGUAUAACUGCAACUUGACUACAGGUGUGGUGUUUUUUUAUA
Triticum aestivum (bread wheat) is the source of this 1279-nucleotide long non-coding RNA. RefSeq lists it as uncharacterized. The transcript has 3 exons. Lineage: Eukaryota; Viridiplantae; Streptophyta; Magnoliopsida; Poales; Poaceae. The record is from RefSeq and is a predicted model, not a curated record.